This 23-nucleotide microRNA is filed under the name Taeniopygia guttata (zebra finch). RNAcentral describes it as "Tgu-Mir-1677-P6_5p* (star (passenger))". The record is from RNAcentral. Lineage: Eukaryota; Metazoa; Chordata; Aves; Passeriformes; Estrildidae.
ACCUGCUUCCAUUUAAGUCAAUG